RNA transcript from Ceratina calcarata, 484 nucleotides. It is a transcript of the gene named dolichol-phosphate mannosyltransferase subunit 3-like, with no coding region annotated. NCBI's taxonomy places the organism in Eukaryota, Metazoa, Arthropoda, Insecta, Hymenoptera, Apidae. The record is from RefSeq and is a predicted model, not a curated record. The transcript is spliced from 3 exons.
UCAUAACAAAUUUCAAUAAAAACGAUAUAUCUUAAAUUUCAGAUGACUAAACUAUUGGAGUGGCUCUUAUUUGCUACUUUAUUCUUUAGCAUAUGGAUCACUGCAAUUACAGAAAGCAUUAAUUUGUCUUUCAUUAUAGAAUUAAGAGGAAUCAUCCUUGUUCUUCCAUUCAUUGUUUUAUUGUUAUUUGGACUGUAUUCAGCUAUUGUCAUUUUAUAUAGAGUUUUCACGUUCAAUAAUUGUGAAAGUGCUGCUGUAGAAUUACAAGAAGAAAUAGAGGAAGCUAAGAGAGACCUCCAAAGCAAAGGUGUCGUUCUAAAGAGCAAAUGAAUCUGUAUGUUCCUAUAUAAUUCAAGCUGUAUAUUGCGACAUGACGAAUUCAUUUAUGUGGAUUAUAUUGAUCGGAUCUGACACCGAAUCCAGGUCCCGGAGGUGGUGAUGUUAAUGACGUCAAUCCGCCAGCCGGGUCUGCUGCGAAUCUAGG